This 253-nucleotide ribosomal RNA is filed under the name uncultured bacterium. RNAcentral describes it as "partial 16S ribosomal RNA". It matches the Rfam family "Bacterial small subunit ribosomal RNA", at positions 524 to 776 of the family's 1533-position model. The record is from RNAcentral.
UACGUAGGUGGCAAGCGUUAUCCGGAUUUACUGGGUGUAAGGGGAACGCAGGCGGUCUUUUAAGUCUGAUGUGAAAGCCUUCGGCUUAACCGGAGUAGUGCAUUGGAAACUGGGAGACUUGAGUGCAGAAGAGGAGAGUGGAACUCCAUGUGUAGCGGUGAAAUGCGUAGAUAUAUGGAAGAACACCAGUGGCGAAAGCGGCUCUCUGGUCUGUAACUGACGCUGAGGUUCGAAAGCGUGGGUAGCAAACAGG